Molecule: long non-coding RNA, 320 nt
Filed under: Elaeis guineensis (African oil palm)
Lineage: Eukaryota; Viridiplantae; Streptophyta; Magnoliopsida; Arecales; Arecaceae
Description: long non-coding RNA (EGUI_LNC080922)
Source: RNAcentral
UGUUGUUGAAGUAACUGUUGCUGUAUUUGAACUACUCCGAUCAGAGUUUGCAUUAGUUGAGUCAUGUUCGGCUCCUCCUAUACUGUCGGAGUAUUAUCGGUAGGAUCAAGGAUUCCCUCCUGCUGAGUUGUGCCGCUAUUUAAUUGGGGAGUGUUAUCGCCAAGUGGAUUUGAUGUCCCUCCUACCACUCCUUGAGUAUUCUUCGCUCGUCGUGGAGGCAUAUUGACUUAUGAUAGAUUUGAAAUAAUAACUUGUUGGGUAUAAAAUACCCCCAACCGAAGUCCUCAACAGAAUCAACGACUCCGCCAACAAGGCCGACC